UACGUAGGGCGCAAGCGUUGUCCGGAAUUAUUGGGCGUAAAGAGCUCGUAGGCGGUCUGUUGCGUCCGCUGUGAAAACUCGGGGCUUAACCCCGAGCCUGCAGUGGAUACGGGCAGACUAGAGGUAGGUAGGGGAGAAUGGAAUUCCUGGUGUAGCGGUGAAAUGCGCAGAUAUCAGGAGGAACACCGGUGGCGAAGGCGGAUCUCUGGGGCCUGUUCUGACGCUGGAGGCGCGAAAAGCUAGGGGGAGCGAACAGG
RNAcentral lists this ribosomal RNA (257 nucleotides) under uncultured bacterium. RNAcentral's name for it is "partial 16S ribosomal RNA". It matches the Rfam family "Bacterial small subunit ribosomal RNA", at positions 524 to 776 of the family's 1533-position model. The record is from RNAcentral.